GACGUAGGGCGCAAGCGUUGUCCGGAUUUAUUGGGCGUAAAGAGCUCGUAGGCGGCUUGUUGCGUCGACUGUGAAAAACCACGUCUCAACCGUGGGACUGCAGUCGAUACGGGCAGGCUAGAGUUCGGUAGGGGAGACUGGAAUUCCUGGUGUAGCGGUGAAAUGCGCAGAUAUCAGGAGGAACACCGGUGGCGAAGGCGGGUCUCUGGGCCACUACUGACGCUGAGAAGCGAAAGCAUGGGGAGCGAACAGG
Molecule: ribosomal RNA, 253 nt
Filed under: uncultured bacterium
Lineage: Bacteria
Description: partial 16S ribosomal RNA
Rfam family: Bacterial small subunit ribosomal RNA
Source: RNAcentral